This 6357-nucleotide long non-coding RNA is filed under the name Sus scrofa (pig). Its description in RNAcentral is "lncRNA (ENSSSCG00025019415.1)". The record is from RNAcentral. Lineage: Eukaryota; Metazoa; Chordata; Mammalia; Artiodactyla; Suidae.
AACAGUUCAAUAAAUAUCACAGAAUGUUUGUGGAAAGAUUAGGGUUCAUUUCUUCUCCUUGUUACUCUGUUCAGGAACUUCUUCUUUCCAAACGCCUUGGGUACUGCCCCCGUCCUUUGCCGAAUCCACCUCAGGAAUCUUGGACACCUGCAUGGUUAACUGCUUCCUCCACCAAAUCCUUUCUCAGACGGCUUCUCCGAGAGGCCCGAGCUGCCUGCCCCAUGUGAAAUUUUCUCCACCACCCUCACCCCAAUGUGGUAUUGUCUUCUUUCCUUAGCAGCAACCACAGUCUUUGAUGUAAUUAAUUAGAUAUAAUUAAUAAUGACUAUACUUUUCUCAUUGACUAUUUAACAGUAUUAAAGCUAUGACUUACUAUCUCCUCCCUCAAGAGAAUAAGGGAUAAUUGCCAGUUUUCUUCACCCCUACUGACAUAAUCCUUGAUGCCUUUCUUGGCUCAGGAAGCUUCUGAUUGGCUGGGGGGGGGGGUCAGGUGCGCUGAGGGAAGUGGUCACAGAGCUUGCUGUUUAGAGCACCUUCCUGGACCUCCUCCUUAUCCUCCCACGUCCACACUCCAGCUGCCCACGGGCUGGUGAGAGCUCCUCGGACCCUCCAGCUCCCCCCGUCUCCCCUAAAGGCUUUCCAAGAGUAGCAUGGCCCACCAUCAGCCUCCUCGGUGGGUUCUUUGUAUGUAGGGAGCAGGAGCCCCAGGAUCCGUCCCAGGUCAGGCUACUCUAACAAGCUCCCUUAGACCAAAUGCCUUAGAUGGUCAGCGGUCCAUUUUUCUCAGUCAUGGAAGCCGAAAGUCUGGGAUCUGGGGUCUACGUGCUCAGGUUCAGGGGAGCUAUCUUCCAGGUUGCGGGCUGCUGGCUCCUCACGGGGACCUCAUGCGGGGCAGCAGAAGGACGAAAGCUCUUUGUGCCUCUUGAAAGGGCACUGAUCCCAUCUAUGAGGAUUCCACCCGCAUGACCUCUGCCUGCCCCCCUCCCCAAGGCUAACCUUCAGAUGCCAUCACCUGUCCGGGGUAGCAUAGGGUCUCAACGUGAGUCUGGAAGGGACAAGAUGUUCAUCCCCCAAGAGUAUCACCUUCUUAUCCUCUCUGUGGAGCCUGACACACCCUCCAAGGCACAUCUGCCAUGUCACCUGCUGAGGUGCUUAUAUUUGGGAGCAUAAGAGAGAAUCUUCAAGUACAGGUCUUACCUCUUUGUAGGUAGCUCAGUGCAGUGUGGGUAAUAGGUUUAGGGAGUCUCUUCUGUCUCAACUGUAAAUGCACACGCAUCCAAUAAGUGUGUGUGUGUGUGUGUGUGUGUGCGUGCGUGCGUAUGUGUGUUUUUGUGUCUAAGUGUAAGAGAAACUCUAAUGGGCACGAUAACUGAAUCCUUGUCCGAUGGGGAACACUCCUGCCUGAGAGGGAUUCAGACAUGAUCCCCUCUUGUCUUCACUCACCUGAGAAAUGGUUCCACAAACUUCUCUCUCUCAGCUCAGCUGAUUUCCUCAGAACUUACAGCCUCUUACCUAUUUCUUUAAUAAAUGCAUAAGUUUAUCUAAAAAUCCCUGAGGACCCUAAACAUAUCAUAUCUUGCAUCAUACCACUUCCUUCAAAUCAGAGGAUCUUGGUUUUUGACAAUUAGUUUAGAAAGACAGUGAUGGAGCUAAUGUUGCUCUAACAUGUGUGCAUGUUUAAUGAGAGAGAAAGACUAAUCGUUACAGGGUUCCCUUUCAGUGUAUGCAUCUGUCCAUUAGUUGGUGCAGAGACCCACCUACAAGGACACGAUCUCCUUCCUGACAGUGGUGCAGAGAAGAGUCAGGAGACUUAGCCAAAACUCAUAGGUGCCUGACUGUGUGCCAAAGGGAAUGUGGAGCUAAAAUGUAGGCUUGCUUUGCCUGAAUCCAGUAGAUAAAUUGAAAUGGGCAUGCUUAUUUAUUUAAGUGACUUUGUUCAACAUUAAAGGAGCUUAAGUAGAAAUAAUUUAUUUGGAGUCUUUCUUGGGGAGGUGGGGGCAGGAAGCAAAGCAAAUUGUAAUAAAGAGCAGAAAAAAAGGAGCAGGUAGGGGUGGGGAUAAACUCCUAGGGAAUCAUUUAUAAAAAUACAAAUGGAAAUUAGAAAAUAUGUGUAACGUGUAAAACUCUGUGGGGAGCUAUGUAAUCUAAUAGCAGAAACCAAGGAAAGCCAACUCCAAAAUCUUUCUCCUGGGCAUCUGGGAGGCCUGAGGUCACUAGGAGGCCUGAGGUUGGAAGGACCUAAAUGUACUUGAGACUAAAUACAUCCGUUUCCGAGGGAGGGAGGGGGGACGGAUGAUCAGUGAAAGGUGAGGAGCACGGGAGAUUUCCUCUUCUCAUUUGAAUGGAUUUGUUGUCUAAUGAAACUCCUCUAGCACCUUGUCGAGGAUUAAAUUUUCACACAGAGUUGAGAAUUUAAUUUUUUUUUUUUUUUUUAACCAGUGAUACAAUACCACAUCAAAGGCUUUAGGAGGAAUUCACUGUUUGCAGGAAGUACUCGAAUGGCAACCAGGGGGCCCUGUCCUUUUUUCCACAUCCCUAGCUGAGGUCUGGUUCUGUAUCACGGUGCGGUGAAGGCGUCUUCUAGAAGGUGAGGGGAAGAGGCUGUUUAAAUUCUUUUGGCAAGGGUGCAGUGCCACCCCGAAGCAGAGCAUUCCUAGUAGGAGGGGACAUGUGCUUCUCACAUUAAAUGGAUUGAAUGACAAAAGAGGUGUAACCCAAGAAUGGGAGCUCUGAGUGAGUCUGAAGGCUUGGCUGGGAGAGGGCCUGGGGUAGUGAGAAUUCCAAAGGGGCUGAGGAGCCUCUGAUACCUCUCUCACAACCUUUAUUGUGUUGUGGUAAUAAAAUGAUCAAGCACUCUGUGAACAAACAGCUAUGCCCAUGCUACUGAAAAGCUAGGCUGGGAGGACACAAAGAAGGAAAAAAGUACGUUCACCACUGACAUGUUGAGGCCACACUCCUGAUUUCUUCUUCCAUAUCCCUGGACAAAACAUGGAGCCACAUAUUUUGCUUCUUCUGGUCACCUUUGAGUUCAUUUUUUUUUUUUUUUUUUUUUUUUUUUUUUGUCUUUUUGUCUUUUUAGGGCCACACCCAUGGUAUAUGGAGAUUCCCAGGCUAGGGGUUGAAUUAGAGCUGUAGCCGCCGGCCCACACCACAACCACAGCAACGUGAGAUCUGAGCCACGUCUGUGACCUACACCACAGCUCACAGCAAGGUUAUAGUCACCUUCAAGUUCUAAAUAACUGGUGUCACUUCUGAUCCGAAACCAACUCUCAUUUCUCUCCAUCACCAACUCUGGUUCACCUCGGACUCCUAGGAACCUGUUAGGCCCAGGCAGUAUCAUUGACUCUUCUUUAGCUCUUUCUUCUGUUCUUCCUCCCCUUCUCACUUCCUCUGGCCCCUUUGGGGUCAGUAGUGGGAGAGGUAAGAAGAGGUGGUGACCUCCCUAUUCAGUGCCCCUUAGUGUGGGCAGUGCCCACACUAACUGGGGGCUCUGACUCCCUCCUCAGUCAUUGCUCUGUGUUCACGCCAAGACACUCUUUUAUUGGCAGGUGGACUUUUUGAACAGCUCCCUCUCAGUAAAGCCCAGGUCCGCUCCCCUCCAUGGUGUCCUUUUGACCUUGACAAAUUCAGGAUGUGAGGGACACCCCACCCCAGCCCUCUCUUCUCCUUGGGCCAACAUAGGGAACUCCAAGAAGGAUUUUGUCUAGACUGGUUUUCCCAGGGAACAGCAGCCUCUGGGCCCCACAGACUCGAAAAACAGAACAGUAUCUCCAGUUACUCAGACCCUGAGCUUUGUGUUCCAGGCCAUUUACAAUGGGAAGGCAGGCUUUUCUAGAUCAGCGUGGUCCUUUACCUACAAUAGUCCCGAUUAUUUGCUUGUGUUCUUAAAUCCCCUCUUGUUUGACUUGAGGUGGCAGAGGAGACAUCAUUACACACUCUUGUUUAGGUAAACAUGUAAAGGGAGAUGGAAGAGCCACAGCAACACGAGAUCCAAGCUGCAUCUGCGACCUACACCACAGCUCACAGCAACACCGGAUCCUUAACCCACUGAGCAAGGCCAGGGAUCGAACCUGCAACCUCAUGGUUCCUAGUCGGAUUCCUUAACCACUAAGUCAAGAUGGGAACUCCAGAUAGGACAGUAUUAAUCAAAAGGUAUAGCAGAUCAGGGGAAAUUUUUCAAAUUGUUGAAGUAAAAUGUGUUUGAAAUUCCCAGGGAUGGAGUUGACAGAGGAGAAAAGGUUCAAAAUGCUAAAUGGCAGAAAGAUGAUGGAAUAGGUUUUAGAAAGGAUGACAUGGGGUGGAAAUGUAAAGAAACUGUGUAGAAGUCUUGAAAUGCAUUUUGAGAAAGGGUCCAAAUGGUUCUAACAAGCCUAAUGUCAACAAAAAUCUAUAUAUAGAGCAAUUUCUGACAGAAAGGAAACCACCGUAGAACCACACGUAAACAAUGCCCAAGUAUGAAUGGCAUAGUCAGACAGUAGCAUUUCUAGUCUUGCUCUAUUAUGCCAGGGAAUGAUUUGUCAAUGUAAGUUCAGUAGAACUCUCUUAAUCCACCUCCACUUAAGGAACUCACAAAAUUACUAUGCUUGGCAUUUCCUCUGUAAGUAUGUGAUGACUAAUGCUCAUACUUCUUGAAUGUUCUGGGCUAGGAGGAUACCCUUGAGAAAGGCUCCUCAUUUCAACACUCACAUUUUGGUUGGAAUAUUUGCCAAGAGUCAGUUAUGAAUUUCUCAACUCUGCUUAAGUCAGAUGUAUUUGAUAGUGUAAAUGUGUAUUUAAAUAUUAUAUAAGAGAUGGAAUUUGCAUGUGAAGAACGUAUUUCUACUCAAGUCACUUUGGAAGACUAGGAAGAUUGUUAAGGUUAUGGAUUCUUUAUCUCCCAAAUUAAGACACAGAAAUUAGGCAGAUGUAAAUCAAAAUGUCAGCAUUAUUACCAAUUAUUAAAAAUAAGAUUGGACUCUGUAGUCUAGCAGUAAUACUGCAGCAUGCCUUGUAACGUAUCAUUCCAGAAUUUCACCACAGUUGUGCCAUCGUAGGUAGCUGUGGGCAACUGAUAACCUUCUCCCAUAGAGGCUUAAAACUCAUUUUUAUAGAGAAGUAGAAAUGUAUCUAUCAUGAGGACAGGCGAGGCUCGUAAGAAAGAAAUUACAGUCAUUCCUCAGUAUCCUCAGAGGCUCUCAGACCCUCUGGGACACCAAAACCUAAGGAUACUUAAGUCCCUUAUAUAAAAUGAUGUAGUAUUUGCAUAUAACUUAUGUAAUUCUCUUGUGUACUUUAAAUCAUCUCUAGAUGACUUGUAAAACCUAAUGCAGUGUAAAUGCUAAGAAAAUAAUGGUGAUUCAUGGCAAAUUCAAUUUUGCUUUCGGAAAUUUCUGGAAUUUUUUUUUUUUUUGGCUUUUUGUCUUUUUGUCUUUUCUAGGGCCACACUCGUGGCAUAUGGAGGUUCCCAGGCUAGGGGUCUAAUCAGAGCUGUAGCCACCAGCCUACACCAGAGCCACAGCAAUGGGGGAUCUGAGCCGCGUCUGUGGCCUACACCACAGCUCAUAGCAACACCAGAUCCAUAACCCACUAAGCGAGGCCAGGGAUUGAACCUGCAACCUCAUGGUUCCUAGUCAGAUUCGUUAACCACUGCGCCACGAUGGGAACUCCCCCAAAAUUUUUUUGAAUAUUUUUGAUCCCUGGUUGGUUGAAUCCAUGGAUGCAGAUCCUAGGGAUACAGAGGCCAACUGUAUCUGAUCUGAGCCAGUUCAGCUGCUUCUCCUGAACUCAACCAGUAGAUGCCUUUUCUCUUGCUAUCGAGGGUGGGAAAGAAUGAUCAGCAGGGUGAACUCUGAUUUCAUUCCAGAUGGAAAUGGGCAAGGGGAAUGAAGCACCUUUCUAGCAAAUUAUAAUCCCUCUCUCUUCCAAACACACACACACACACACACACACAAUUUCUAUACCUCAGGUAGAAGGAAGACAAAAAUCAAAUAUGAAAGGGAAGUCAUUAAAAUCAGGAUGGAAUUUACGUUCAGACUGAGUUUUUAAUUUAACUUUAAGGAAUCACAAUGAGAAAUUAUAAGCCAUAUAUUAUGAAUGUGUUUUAUGUGAAAGUCCAUUCAGUGAACCCCACUCAAAGAAAAGUUCUUGACUCAAUGAAACAUCAACAAGUAAAUGCAUAUUACUGUGUUUUGAGUUAUAAUAAAAUGUGAAAGUAUGUGAUUCCCGAAUUUUUAAAGUUAAACAACCGAAUUUUUAAAGUUAAACAACUGAAGCAAUGGUUCCGAUAACAUCAAACAAGAGGGUUUGUCCUAUCAACCUCACUGAUCAAAACUUACCCCAGAAAUUCCUGCUGUGGUGCAGUGGGUUAAAAAUCUGAUG